RNAcentral lists this ribosomal RNA (376 nucleotides) under Escherichia coli. RNAcentral describes it as "bacterial SSU rRNA". It matches the Rfam family "Bacterial small subunit ribosomal RNA", at positions 1 to 371 of the family's 1533-position model. Lineage: Bacteria; Pseudomonadati; Pseudomonadota; Gammaproteobacteria; Enterobacterales; Enterobacteriaceae. The record is from RNAcentral.
UUAAAUUGAAGAGUUUGAUCAUGGCUCAGAUUGAACGCUGGCGGCAGGCCUAACACAUGCAAGUCGAACGGUAACAGGAAACAGCUUGCUGUUUCGCUGACGAGUGGCGGACGGGUGAGUAAUGUCUGGGAAACUGCCUGAUGGAGGGGGAUAACUACUGGAAACGGUAGCUAAUACCGCAUAACGUCGCAAGACCAAAGAGGGGGACCUUCGGGCCUCUUGCCAUCGGAUGUGCCCAGAUGGGAUUAGCUAGUAGGUGGGGUAACGGCUCACCUAGGCGACGAUCCCUAGCUGGUCUGAGAGGAUGACCAGCCACACUGGAACUGAGACACGGUCCAGACUCCUACGGGAGGCAGCAGUGGGGAAUAUUGCACAA